RNAcentral lists this ribosomal RNA (292 nucleotides) under uncultured bacterium. RNAcentral describes it as "partial 16S ribosomal RNA". It matches the Rfam family "Bacterial small subunit ribosomal RNA", at positions 505 to 796 of the family's 1533-position model. The record is from RNAcentral.
GUGUCAGCAGCCGCGGUAAUACGGAGGAUCCAAGCGUUAUCCGGAUUUAUUGGGUUUAAAGGGUGCGUAGGCGGCCAUUUAAGUCAGAGGUGAAAGACGGUAGCUCAACUAUCGCAGUGCCUUUGAUACUGAGUGGCUUGAAUGAACUAGAGGUAGGCGGAAUAAGACAAGUAGCGGUGAAAUGCAUAGAUAUGUCUCAGAACACCGAUUGCGAAGGCAGCUUACUAUGGUUUAAUUGACGCUGAGGCACGAAAGCGUGGGGAUCAAACAGGAUUAGAUACCCCUGUAGUCC